Meriones unguiculatus (Mongolian gerbil) is the source of this 1331-nucleotide RNA transcript. It is a transcript of the gene named cytochrome P450 3A1-like, with no coding region annotated. The transcript has 4 exons. The record is from RefSeq and is a predicted model, not a curated record. NCBI's taxonomy places the organism in Eukaryota, Metazoa, Chordata, Mammalia, Rodentia, Muridae.
AGCACAGUUGGGCAGAAGGGAAGCCCUGCAAAGGGUAGCAUGCACAGCAGGAGGGAGAACACAUAGGAGUAAUUUGCUGACAGAUAAGCAAAGAUGGAUCUGAUUUCAGUUUUCUCCCCGGAAAUCUGGGUCCUCCUGGCAAUCAGUCUCAUGCUCCUCUACUGGUUUGGGACUCGUACACAUGGAGUUUUUAAGAAACAGGGAAUUCCUGGGCCCACACCUCUGCCCUUUUUAGGAACUGUACUGAAUUACUACAAGGGUAUUUGGAAAUAUGAUGCAGAAUGCUAUAAAAAGUAUGGAAAAAUAUGGGGGUGAGUAUUCUGGAAAGUUCCAUCAAGUCAACUCUUUUUAGGAGAAGGUGCCCUACUUAUGCAAGGACAAUACCAGCCCAGAACUGUAGUAAUGGGCAUCUCUUUUGUGAAGGUAAUUGGACUGGAGAAUUCGAUACUACGAUGGAGCAGCUGAGAGUGGCCAUUGUCACAGUAAAUUCUACCGGAGUGGACGCAGGACUAGCCACAGGAUUAUCAACAUGGAUUGCUGCAGCCAUGAAUCAUCUGAAGGAAUGGGCGGGCAUGGGAGUGUUAGCAGGCCUUCUGGUGUUGGUCUCCUUGGUUUGCCUGUGGUAUAUAUGCAAGAUUAGAGUCUCACAACAGUGUGAUGCAGCCAUGAUCAUUCAGGCCUUUACAGCCAUUGAAGCAGGACAUUGUCCCCAAGCAUGGUUGGAUACCAUAAGAAGCUAAAAUGAUACGCUCAGGAUGCGAGGCUAAGCACUGCACUCAGGGUCAGCUGCUUUCGACCCAGAGAAGAGCAUGUCUGAUUGCAUGCGGGUUGAUGCCCCAGGUCCCGCCUCUGAGAAAAAGGUAUCGGACGGGUCUGAUGCUCUUUGGGUGGAUGACACCUAAAUGAACAUCUGUACAAAGUCCCAAUUUAUUUCUAAUAUCAGAGAUCAGACCUCUACUCUUGCCUGAUGCGUCUAAAACAAAAAGGGGGAACUGUAGAGAGCUGCGGAAUGCUAUGCCUUAAAGAUGGAGCUGGUUUCCGCCUUCCACCUUCCCGAUGGUGAGUGCUCUCUGUCACGAACAACUCCACAUUUGGCUAAGGCCGAGGAUCUGGCUUGCUUCCAUGUAUGUGGACCUAUCUGCAUUGCCCCCGUGGCACGCCUGGGUUGGCUACCCAGAGGCUAUUUAAGCUGUGGGCUGGCUUUCCCCGGGGUCCGAGCAUUGUUCAAUGUUCCUGAAUAAACUGCAUUGAAAAAAGAAUAAACGAUUAUUUAUUAAUAAUUAUAUUUAUUAGUAAUGCAUAUUAAUAAAUAAUUACUUAUUUCUUACAAA